RNAcentral lists this ribosomal RNA (443 nucleotides) under uncultured bacterium. RNAcentral's name for it is "partial 16S ribosomal RNA". It matches the Rfam family "Bacterial small subunit ribosomal RNA", at positions 338 to 795 of the family's 1533-position model. The record is from RNAcentral.
CCUACGGGGUGCAGCAGUGGGGAAUAUUGCACAAUGGGGGAAACCCUGAUGCAGCGACGCCGCGUGAAGGAAGAAGUAUUUCGGUAUGUAAACUUCUUUUCUCAGGGACGAAGAAAGUGACGGUACCUGAGGAAUAAGCCACGGCUAACUACGUGCCAGCAGCCGCGGUAAUACGUAGGUGGCAAGCGUUAUCCGGAUUUAUUGGGUGUAAAGGGCGUGUAGGCGGGAGCGCAAGUCAGAUGUGAAAACUCAGGGCUCAACCCUGAGCCUGCAUUUGAAACUGUGUUUCUUGAGUGCUGGAGAGGCAAUCGGAAUUCCGUGUGUAGCGGUGAAAUGCGUAGAUAUACGGAGGAACACCAGUGGCGAAGGCGGAUUGCUGGACAGUAACUGACGCUGAGGCGCGAAAGCGUGGGGAGCAAACAGGAUUAGAUACCCUUGUAGUC